ACGAAGGGCAGCAGUCGGGAAUUUUGGACAAUGGGGAAACCUGAUCCAGCCAUCCCGCGUGUGCGAUGAAGGCCUUCGGGUUGUAAAGCACUUUUGGCAGGAAAAACGGCGCAGGAUAAUACCCGUGCAACUGACGGUACCUGCAGAAUAAGCACCGGCUAACUACGUGCCAGCAGCCGCGGUAAUGCGUAGGGUGCAAGCGUUAAUCGGAAUUACUGGGCGCAAAGCGUGCGCAGGCGGUUCUGAAGAAGAUGUGAAAUCCCAGAGCUUAACUUUGGAACUGCAUUUUUAACUACCGAGCUAGAGUGUGUCAGAGGGAGGUGGAAUUCCGCGUGUAGCAGUGAAAUGCGUAGAUAUGCGGAGGAACACCGAUAGCGAAAACAGCCUCCUGGGAUAACACUGACGCUCAUGCACGAAAGCGUGGGGAGCAAACAGGAUUAGAUACCCCGGUAGU
This 454-nucleotide unclassified non-coding RNA is filed under the name uncultured Bordetella sp. Its description in RNAcentral is "partial 16S-23S ribosomal RNA intergenic spacer". It matches the Rfam family "Bacterial small subunit ribosomal RNA", at positions 341 to 794 of the family's 1533-position model. Lineage: Bacteria; Pseudomonadati; Pseudomonadota; Betaproteobacteria; Burkholderiales; Alcaligenaceae. The record is from RNAcentral.